AACGCACGAGACCUGCGGACCUGCGGAGGGAUCAUUACCGAGUUUACAACUCCCAAACCCAAUGUGAACGUUACCAAACUGUUGCCUCGGCGGGAUCUCUGCCCCGGGUGCGUCGCAGCCCCGGACCAAGGCGCCCGCCGGAGGACCAACCAAAACUCUUUUUGUAUACCCCCUCGCGGGUUUUUAUAUCUGAGCCAUCUCGGCGCCUCUCGUAGGCGUUUCGAAAAUGAAUCAAAACUU
RNAcentral lists this unclassified non-coding RNA (240 nucleotides) under soil metagenome. Its description in RNAcentral is "partial contains 5.8S ribosomal RNA, internal transcribed spacer 2, and large subunit ribosomal RNA". The record is from RNAcentral.